This is a long non-coding RNA of Magnolia sinica, 661 nucleotides long. RefSeq lists it as uncharacterized. The transcript is spliced from 5 exons. The record is from RefSeq and is a predicted model, not a curated record. Lineage: Eukaryota; Viridiplantae; Streptophyta; Magnoliopsida; Magnoliales; Magnoliaceae.
CUGGCAUUUCAAUGGUUUUCCUUGUGAAAGAUUUGUUAGGACUGAAGUGAAAGAAGCCUUAAUCAUCAAAGUUCAUGUACUUGUAUCUCAAUGAGCGUUUGCAUGAUUGAUACCAUAUUUUAGUAUAGAACAUCUAUUAGUUUGUUUCUAAUUCCCCCCGUUAAUUAAUGGGUUGCUUUGUGGGUUACUGCAGGGAAGGCUUCGUUUUAGGGAACCAAGACGAAAGGUGGAUAAAGCCCAAGUAUUGAAGAGGUGUUGCUAUAGAGUUAAAUGUUUUGUGGAAACUGAUGCUGGUUUCUGUCCAACACGCUCGAAGGAGUUACUCUAGCAGUUACUGAAAAAGAAGAAGCAGGAGCACAAUGGACAGGAAUUGUAACAACCAUUGCAGUGGAAAUGCUGAAAGCAAAUAUUGUAGAUGUUGUCAUUUGUGUGCAGAGUGAUCCAGAGGACAACUUACUCCAAAGCCAGUCUUGGCCAGGUAUGUAAACUGCAUUUGAACUGAAAUGCUGACUAUGCCACAUGUGAUCUAAGUGAAGGUAUCACUAAUACCAUCCCUUAAAAAUAAUUUGUUCCAAGAACGCAAAAUGCUAAUUCAACUGAGUUAACUCAGGGGUACAAUGAAUCCAUGGUAUGUUCUAUUUGAAUAACAUGCAUGGGUCUC